GACAUUUAUUUCCAUUCAAUUGUUAAAAGAAAAAUUACAUAAACGUUUCUUGUAACUACUUCUCUAAAGAAGGAAACAAGUACUUGGGUUUACUUGACUAUUUGUGUCCUUGUUGCUGUGGUCUCGUCUUGUAGUUCCAGGCCUGUAUCAUCAACUAUCAGGACACCUCUGGCAGACAACCCCCCACCCCACCCCCCACCACCCACUGGACCUGCCUGCCUAUUCAGCAUGUCCAUUUUAUCAAAGAUGAUGAUGGUAACCUCAUUUAAAGGAGACAGAUGCUUGGAAUGUGCACUUGAAAUAUUCCUUACCUAAGGGGACUCUGGCAGGCACAGCUCUGCGGUCGAUCCAGAAGGAAACCCAGGACAGCAUGACCAUCAGGGUGGCAGGGAAGUAAGUUUGGAGCAAGAAGAAGAAGAUGUGGCGACGCAACGUGAAGUUAAUGUACAGACGGUUGUACCAGCCUGGGGGACACAAGGAAGAAAAUACAGCACACACCAUAGCUGUUCAGCUCCUUCAUAAAUCAAAUUUUAUUCAGGGAAUCAUCAAUGUCUUAGACACUCCACUGGAACCUGGCCAUACCUUUACAAAGUGGAGAUGUGUCUUUUUACAAACUGAAGGCAAGACCCCCCAGCAGCAAAAAGAUUAUGACUCGCUUUAUUGCAGUGGUCUAGAAUUGAACCUGCAAUAUCUCCGAGGUAUGCCUGUAUUGUUCCUCUGGUUUGAGAUAAAUUCAAGUUCUUCUGUUCUUUUAUUGAUCAUAUUGAUAUCAAUAUGUUGAUAUUCAAUAUGUUGAUAUUGAUUAUAUUGAUAUUAUAUUUGUGUACUAUGUUUCAGAAGUAAUAUUAAUGAACCCUUAAUGCCAGUUGCCAAAUGCAGCACUUUUUUUAGUGUUCAUAUUUUUAUAUUGAUAAUAAUGUCUGCUAAUGAAUAUAGAUGUUUUUAGUGCAUAAGCCCAUGGAGACUAUAUAAUGGAAAAACACUGAGAGAUCUUAGUGUACCAACAUGCAAGCAUCUAAUGGUUUUGUUUUAUAAUUACACAGGAAAACAGGCUUCUGAAUCAAAGAAUAAACAAGUAGAUCAUCAGUCAUAGAAGAAAGCUUUCCCAUCUUAUGGCAGGACAUGACUAAUAUGGCUGGUAUUCAACAUACUAUUUUUUCUUCAAUAACAGAAAAUUGGCUACAUAGAAGUAGAAAAACAGACAUGGGUUAGAUUACACCACAGACUGUGCUUGUUCAGUGUGUGGGUUGCAAGUGGAGAAGCAUCAAGUCAGGAUGCACCCACCUACAUUCCGGUCCUCAUACUCUUAACUCUUCCCAACAACUCCCUGGCACCCAGAAUGCUCUUAUUAGAAAUGUAUUCUGUUAAUUAAUCAAUGAAAAGAUGGAGUUGGAAGAUGGUAUAUUAGAACAUAUUUUAGGAGUUAACCUUUUGCUGACAGAGUUGACAAUAUCCAGCUACUCUAUGUUUUUCCCCAAAUAAAUCUCAAAAUGGUAGUGUUUAGAAACUUAGGCCUCUUUUUUCCCCUUUUAAAUCAAACAAACUCAUGAUUUUAUUUUCAAUAAAAGCAUCAAGUCAUCUGUUUUUAGGCACAAGGAGGCUCACUGACAACUUUGAUUCUGAACACACAGGUCUUCCCUGCUCUUGUGCCCUCUGUUCUGCCUCAUGCUGUCACAUCCAGUGAUGUGUUGAAUCAGACAUCUACUGGCUCAUGAGAGCCGAUCACUGCAUUUUCAGGAGGUUUGCAAGCUGGUUGUUAAACAUAGCCGUUAUUAAAAUUAAAUUAUAUAAAUUUAAAAUUAAAUAAGUUAAGCACUAAAAAUAAACGUAAUAAAUAUUCAAAACUCAUCACUUCUGAAUUAUUUUCUAUUAUCUACACUCCUGAAGUUACCUACAUCUACUAUACUGUAUUUAUAUGAUGGAAAUACUAUCUAAAGAUGAGCUACCACCCAUUUCUUCCCAACACUGCAUUCAGUGACAUCAGAUAGCUUGAAAUCAGCCAGGAUGGGCAUAUCUACACUACAGAAACUGGCAAAUUCUGCAAUCAGGGCUUGAUUUAUUGCUUUGCUGACUGUUUAGACUUAAGAAAGUGUCUAAAGAAAGCAGAUUAAACCUAACAGUGUAUUAUGGCUAUUACCAUUACAUGCAAAAAAAAAAGGGGUUUAAGGGGACCAGAGAGCUGAAGGAGGGGAGUCAUUGAAAAGAAUGCAUUAUUUAUUUCUCUGACUCCCACUAGAAAAAUAAAACUUUUAUUAUAGUAAAGGUUUUCCAUUGAAAUGUAACAGACAGGGUAGAACGUAAGUCAUAACUAUCAGCUUGAGGAAUUUCCCCAAGUGUAUUUUCAAGACUGAGUAAUUCUUAACUCAUGUGUAAGAGUCCAUUUUUCUUGAUGUUGAAAAGUUGACAGCUCCUGAAGAGUUAAAGGCCAGCUAUUCAAGGCCAAAAAGCAAAGUACUUGUUGUAGAACCAGUGACUUUCUUGGUUAAGACAAACUGCUUGCCUUUCUUCCCAAGCUCGAGGUAUAAAAAACAUACCAACUCCGCAGGUAAAAGGGCCCAGAGGGAGGACGGAGCCGGGCCUCACCUGAGGCUGUAGAGCACCGUCCCGUCGGGCUGGACCCGCAGCAUGACGUUCUCCGUGGUGGUGUCGUGGAUGAAGGAGCGCUUGGAGUGCACAAAAAACAUGUCGGGGACCCAGAUCUUCUUCACCAGCCGCCCGUCAAACGUCAUGCUGAGGUUGUUGGUGCUGGGGAAGGACAGCCUCUCGUCCUUCCAAUAGUGCCUCAGGUAGAGGGUCAUGGUGAAGUCCUGGGCAGAGGGCAGAGAAGGGAACCCCACACACUGAACCCACUGGUUGUCAGCAAGGCAUUCUCUACCCCUGUGGAGCCAUCACCUGGCUGGGAGUGAAACUGAGCUGCCAGCACUGUGCCCGCUGCCGCUGCCAGAGGGCUCCCGGGCGCACACACAGGGCAAGCAGGAGACUGAAUGCCUCUGGAAGCAGCUCUCAACCGGAGAGUGGGGUUGGGGGCUCAGGGGGAUGGAUAAGUGCCCCAGCGCCCUGGAUACUCAGUUGGGACAACCCUGAAGUGUGCUCCGUGCUGACUCCCAGAGUACCCCAAUGGGACAGCGUUUCACCCCCCAAUAGUAAGCGAUGUGAUGGCACUGCCCUUUUCGCUCCAUUCCCUUCCCUGUCUCACCUUCCCACUCUCUUCUCAUGUUUCCUGGAAUCACCUCC
Myotis lucifugus (little brown bat) is the source of this 3234-nucleotide long non-coding RNA. RefSeq lists it as uncharacterized. The transcript is spliced from 3 exons. NCBI's taxonomy places the organism in Eukaryota, Metazoa, Chordata, Mammalia, Chiroptera, Vespertilionidae. The record is from RefSeq and is a predicted model, not a curated record.